RNAcentral lists this ribosomal RNA (315 nucleotides) under Escherichia coli. RNAcentral describes it as "partial 23S ribosomal RNA". It matches the Rfam family "Bacterial large subunit ribosomal RNA", at positions 1 to 352 of the family's 2925-position model. The record is from RNAcentral. Lineage: Bacteria; Pseudomonadati; Pseudomonadota; Gammaproteobacteria; Enterobacterales; Enterobacteriaceae.
GGUUAAGCGACUAAGCGUACACGGUGGAUGCCCUGGCAGUCAGAGGCGAUGAAGGACGUGCUAAUCUGCGAUAAGCGUCGGUGAGGUGAUAUGAACCGUUAUAACCGGCGAUUUCCGAAUGGGGAAACCCAGUGUGAUUCGUCACACUAUCAUUAACUGAAUCCAUAGGUUAAUGAGGCGAACCGGGGGAACUGAAACAUCUAAGUACCCCGAGGAAAAGAAAUCAACCGAGAUUCCCCCAGUAGCGGCGAGCGAACGGGGAGGAGCCCAGAGCCUGAAUCAGUGUGUGUGUUAGUGGAAGCGUCUGGAAAGGCG